RNAcentral lists this long non-coding RNA (201 nucleotides) under Physcomitrium patens. RNAcentral's name for it is "long non-coding RNA (PPAT_LNC010921)". The record is from RNAcentral. Lineage: Eukaryota; Viridiplantae; Streptophyta; Bryopsida; Funariales; Funariaceae.
UGUGUGUUGGGUCGGCGUCUGUGCCGCACGUCGGAGGAGCAAUGACAGUGAAGGUGACUGAUGCCGAUACAAUCUCAGCGAGUGCGGCGUCCAUUAAGGAGUAUAUUAUUAUACUGGGCUUGUGGCACUCGGCGACCUCUUCCAUCGUCCACCGUUUCUGCUUGUCACCAUCGCCACCCUCGAAGCCAAUUCCUCUGCUGG